UACGUAGGUGGCGAGCGUUAUCCGGAAUGAUUGGGCGUAAAGGGUGCGUAGGCGGGCUUUUAAGUGAGAUGUGAAAUACUCGGGCUCAACUUGAGUGCUGCAUUUCAAACUGGAAGUCUAGAGUGCAGGAGAGGAGAAUGGAAUUCCUAGUGUAGCGGUGAAAUGCGUAGAGAUUAGGAAGAACACCAGUGGCGAAGGCGAUUCCCUGGACUGUAACUGACGCUGAGGCUCGAAAGCGUGGGGAGCAAACAGG
Molecule: ribosomal RNA, 253 nt
Filed under: uncultured bacterium
Lineage: Bacteria
Description: partial 16S ribosomal RNA
Rfam family: Bacterial small subunit ribosomal RNA
Source: RNAcentral